RNAcentral lists this long non-coding RNA (1118 nucleotides) under Gallus gallus (chicken). RNAcentral's name for it is "lncRNA (ENSGALG00010011890.1)". The record is from RNAcentral. Lineage: Eukaryota; Metazoa; Chordata; Aves; Galliformes; Phasianidae.
GUAGUAAGGGUGCUUUAUUGGAGGUUUCUGCAUACCUGAAUCCUUCUGAAGGUCCUCAGGUGCUCAAGUGAGAGAAACGUGUGCUUAUCAUGUGCAGUAUUAUCUCCUGUGCUCUCUAAAUACCUCUUUGGUGACAAAAGUUCAUUGCGAGGGACCUCUGGAGAUCGUCUGUUUUAACUUCCCAUGUGAAGUGAAACUGCUGCUGGUGCUGGACCAGGUCAGCCAUGGCUUUUUCUGGACCCGGUUUAUGGAACUGCUGGCAGUAGCUGCAGAUCUAUUUGAAUCAAAAUGAAAGCUGAUGGAAGAAAUCAAAAAUGCAGUGCAGCAGCUCAGUGUUGAUGCAUACCAGGGAUGGUAAAGACCACAUCAAGGAGUGGGCAGGGGGGAACACAAUCUUGGAGCUGAUGUAAUUCUAAAGUAAGAUUCCUCCUGGAGCAUCCAAAUGAUAGGCAUAAGUAGAAGCAGAUGAUUUUCUGGAGAAUCACAGAAUAACAAAGCUGGAAAGGACCUACAAGAUCAUCUAGUUCAACUGUCCUCCUAUAACCAUUACUACCCACUAAGCUACCAUUAUCUUGUCUUGUCCUGCUUGUUUUAGGUUUGUUAAAUGUUCAAGUACAUAUACUGUUGAAAAGAUGAGGACAUAAGAGUCCAACUUGAUUUCAUACACUUUACGAGGUCCGCAGUGUUUCAGCUUCUCAUCUGGGGGGACUUAAAAUGUCUUCUUUCUUUAGUCUUCCUGCAGAUUAAAAUGUUUUGCUGUAGGACAUUGCACACUUUUCACGGAAUAUUUGUACUGAGGUCCUCAGCCCAAUGCUCUCUCACACAGUGCUGAGCAGCAUUGUCUUACUAAAAAAUAAAAAUUAAAAACAUCUAGAAAUCUUCACUAUAAAAUCAUUCCAUUAUAUUAAUUUCCAUUAGAAUCCAUGGUAAAAUAAAGCUAUUGUCAAAUGAUGUCAUAUCUUUGAGAAGUAAAAAAAGCUGAAUAGGUGUUUUUCUAGGAGCUAAUAUUAUUCAUGUAAGAAAAUAUAUAAUUAUUUGCUCACAGACAUAUUCAAGUGCUAGUUUGUUUUUUCCACGGUGAGCAGUGUCAGGUGGUUAUGUGUCAUGGAUUUUUUCAG